Molecule: transfer RNA, 81 nt
Filed under: Pseudogymnoascus destructans 20631-21
Lineage: Eukaryota; Fungi; Ascomycota; Leotiomycetes; Thelebolales; Thelebolaceae
Description: Geomyces destructans 20631-21 tRNA
Rfam family: tRNA
About the family: Transfer RNA (tRNA) molecules are approximately 80 nucleotides in length.
Source: Rfam by way of RNAcentral
UCCGGUAUAGUGUAGGGGUUAACAUAACCCGCUUUCAAAUUCGGAGCCGGGUAGCCCCGGGUUCGAUUCCCGGUACCGGAA